CUGAUUUUUCUUCUGGUUGUUUUUACAGGAGAGAGACUGAGAGAGAGAUUAGUUUGGAGGGUUGCUGUUGCUGGAAAAGAAUCCUUAGAUCUACCUACUUUGGAUUGAUUUUGUUUCGUGCAUUGAAUUCUCUGCUAUAGCACAAAGCAGGCCACCACUCAGUUCCGUGAACUGAGAGGUGCACCACUCGAUUCCGUGAAUUGAGAGGUGCAAUGGCAAGCCACUGCUCAGUUCCGUGAACUGAGCGGAGGGCAAAUGCAAAGGCAGGCCACCACUUAGUUCCGUGAACUUUGGGGUGCACCGCUCAAUUCCGUGAAUUGAGCAGGCCGCUUCUUAGUUCUAAGAACUAAGAGGUGCAUAAAUGUGUGCUAAAUGGAGAACGUCUCCCUCACUAAACCAGCUUCGCGAUGUACACAUUCAGCUGCAACUUUUGAAACACAGCCUAGUGAGCUUCUGUUUCUCUCCCUCUUUUUUUCUGUCAGUUUUGCAUAAAUUUCAUUCUUACUUGAGGAUUGGAGUAUCUUGCAUAUAUUUUUGUUGCACAACUUGAUUACUUAUUGCAGGGACAUAUUCAGUAGGGGGAGUAGUUAAAUCAGAAUGCUUGCCUGCUUGGCAUUUGAUCAGCCUGCUGCUUGCGUAAAGUUUAACCAAAAAAUAACCCUGUUUAGCUUUUGUUAUAUUGCUGACUAGAUCAUUGGUACUCUGCUAGUAUAUGCAGUUCUAUUAUUUCUUUUAUAAUCAUAUCUUGUGUUGAAUAUGUUUGACAAAGAAGAAAACAGGUCACAUGUCAAGUCAACUGGUACCCAUUCUUAACUCUAUCUCAAUGUAUACUUAACACGCCCUUAUAUUGCAAGAAUGCCGGAGUUUCUUUUUUACUUGUAACAGGUCUAUCAAUCUUGUGCUAAGUUUCUGCCAUUUUUCUCGAUGAGGGUCAGGUUAGUACAUUCUUUUCUUACGUCGACAUGCGUUGAUGCUUAGAGUUUAAAGCGCCCAUGUCACAUUCCAUUUGGGCAUAAUGUUUCUUUCAGAUAAAAAGGUAAAUAUUUUUAACUCUAAUUCUAUGCUUAUUAUGAUCUGCCAAAAAUUGUUUCUAACUUGAGCGUCGGAGUAUCUUUUUUGUUUUUCGCAGGUCUUCCUUUUGUAUUCCUAUGACAAAUUCAAUUAGCAGAGUUGUUGAAAUGGAAUGUUGGUGCCUCGUGGGGAAUAUUAUCUGUUUUUUUCUAUGUUUUGCAUUAAAAUUGUUUCUAACUUGAGCGUCGGAGUAUCUUUUUGUUUUUGCAGGUCUUGCCUUUGUAUUCCUAUGACGAAUUCAAUUAGCAGAGUUGUUGAAACAGAAUGCUGGUGCCUCGUCGGGAAUAUCAUCUGUUUUUUUUUCUAUGUUUUGCAUAAAAUUGUUUCUAACUUGAGCUUCAGAGUAUCCUUUUUGUUUUCUGCAGGUCUUGCCUUUGUAUUCCUAUGACAAAUUAAAUUGACAGAGUUGUUGAAAUGGAAUGCUGGUGCCUCGUGGGGAAUGAUAUCUGUGUUAUUUUUUAUUAUGUUUUGCAUAAAAUUAUUUCUAACUUGAGCGUCGGAGUGUCUUUUUUGUUUUUUGCAGAUCUUGCCUACGACCCAUUCAAUUAGCUGAGUUGUUGAAACGGAACGCUAUUACUCUUUGCAUAAAAUUGUUUCUAACUUAGCAUCGGAGUAUCUUUUUUGUUUUGUUUUUUGCAGGUCCUGGCUUUGUAUUCCUACUAUCGCCAAUAUAUUUAGCAGAGUUGUUGAAACAGAAUGCUGGUGCCUCAUUGGGAAUGCUAUCUGUUUGGCUUUUGGAAUUUCAUCAGUUUGCCUUUAGGGUAUGUCUGACUUCUAAGGAUACAAAUGGAGACUGAUCAGUCCUUUGAAUUGUAUAAUAAUGUGACCCUCCUCGUCCCUAAAGGAGGCUACAUUUCAACUUCAAAAGUCUUGCCUGCUUAUUUGGAGGCCACUCAUUAGGGAUAAUUUGUAUAGUGGAAUGCUGGUGCCUGGUAGAGAAUGCUUUCGUGCUUAAAAGUAUACCAGUCUGUUGCCAGGGUUCAGGAAAGUACUAGUCACAAGUUUGAUUCUAAAGUCUGACAAAGAGGCGUUUUAUCUGGCCAAGUUAAACAUGAAUGCUAAUUUAGACAAUCUUGCCGGAAAUAACAUGAUGCUGCCUGUAAUCUAUUCCACUCA
Long non-coding RNA from Papaver somniferum (opium poppy), 2187 nucleotides. RefSeq lists it as uncharacterized. NCBI's taxonomy places the organism in Eukaryota, Viridiplantae, Streptophyta, Magnoliopsida, Ranunculales, Papaveraceae. The record is from RefSeq and is a predicted model, not a curated record. The transcript has 5 exons.